This 765-nucleotide ribosomal RNA is filed under the name Bacteroides sp. ES-23. Its description in RNAcentral is "bacterial SSU rRNA". It matches the Rfam family "Bacterial small subunit ribosomal RNA", at positions 24 to 779 of the family's 1533-position model. The record is from RNAcentral. Lineage: Bacteria; Pseudomonadati; Bacteroidota; Bacteroidia; Bacteroidales; Bacteroidaceae.
GCCAGAUGAACGCUAGCUACAGGCUUAACACAUGCAAGUCGAGGGGCAGCAUGGUCUUAGCUUGCUAAGGCCGAUGGCGACCGGCGCACGGGUGAGUAACACGUAUCCAACCUGCCGUCUACUCUUGGACAGCCUUCUGAAAGGAAGAUUAAUACAAGAUGGCAUCAUGAGUCCGCAUGUUCACAUGAUUAAAGGUAUUCCGGUAGACGAUGGGGAUGCGUUCCAUUAGAUAGUAGGCGGGGUAACGGCCCACCUAGUCUUCGAUGGAUAGGGGUUCUGAGAGGAAGGUCCCCCACAUUGGAACUGAGACACGGUCCAAACUCCUACGGGAGGCAGCAGUGAGGAAUAUUGGUCAAUGGGCGAGAGCCUGAACCAGCCAAGUAGCGUGAAGGAUGACUGCCCUAUGGGUUGUAAACUUCUUUUAUAAAGGAAUAAAGUCGGGUAUGGAUACCCGUUUGCAUGUACUUUAUGAAUAAGGAUCGGCUAACUCCGUGCCAGCAGCCGCGGUAAUACGGAGGAUCCGAGCGUUAUCCGGAUUUAUUGGGUUUAAAGGGAGCGUAGAUGGAUGUUUAAGUCAGUUGUGAAAGUUUGCGGCUCAACCGUAAAAUUGCAGUUGAUACUGGAUAUCUUGAGUGCAGUUGAGGCAGGCGGAAUUCGUGGUGUAGCGGUGAAAUGCUUAGAUAUCACGAAGAACUCCGAUUGCGAAGGCAGCCUGCUAAGCUGCAACUGACAUUGAGGCUCGAAAGUGUGGGUAUCAACAGGAUA